AUGUUAUCGAUAUGUGAAUACAUAGCAUAUCAGAAGGCACACCCGGAGAACUGAAACAUCUUAGUACCCGGAGGAAGAGAAAGAAAAUUCGAUUCCCUUAGUAGCGGCGAGCGAAACGGGAAGAGCCCAAACCAACAAGCUUGCUUGUUGGGGUUGUAGGACACUCUAUACGGAGUUACAAAGGACGACAUUAGACGAAUCAUCUGGAAAGAUGAAUCAAAGAAGGUAAUAAUCCUGUAGUCGA
This 244-nucleotide ribosomal RNA is filed under the name Staphylococcus aureus. RNAcentral describes it as "partial 23S ribosomal RNA". It matches the Rfam family "Bacterial large subunit ribosomal RNA", at positions 145 to 382 of the family's 2925-position model. The record is from RNAcentral. Lineage: Bacteria; Bacillati; Bacillota; Bacilli; Caryophanales; Staphylococcaceae.